RNAcentral lists this ribosomal RNA (1282 nucleotides) under Synthesium delamurei. RNAcentral's name for it is "partial large subunit ribosomal RNA". The record is from RNAcentral. Lineage: Eukaryota; Metazoa; Platyhelminthes; Trematoda; Plagiorchiida; Brachycladiidae.
GCAGUACGGCGAGUGAACAGGGAUAAGCCCAGCACCGAAGCCUGUGGCCAUUUGGUCACUAGGCAAUGUGGUGUUCAGGUCGUUCCGCAGAGGUGCUGCUCCACCCUAAGUCCAACAAUGAGUACGGUAGUACGGACAUGGCCCACAGAGGGUGAAAGGCCCGUGGGGGUGGAGAUCAGGCAGGCCAGUGCCUCUCUGGGUAGACCUUGGAGUCGGGUUGUUUGUGAAUGCAGCCCAAAGCGGGUGGUAAACUCCAUCCAAGGCUAAAUACAAGCACGAGUCCGAUAGCGAACAAGUACCGUGAGGGAAAGUUGAAAAGUACUUUGAAGAGAGAGUAAACAGUGCGUGAAACCGCUCAGAGGUAAACGGGUGGAGUUGAACUGCAAGCUCUGGGGAUUCAGCUGGUGAGUAUGACAUGAGCUGGGUCAUAUCGGUCGGACUUCGGGGUCUGUGUAGCAGCAGGUCUCUGCCCUCGGGUGGGGAUGCGCGAUACACUUAUCAAGUGUUGUGCGCUCCGGAGUCCUUASGGCUAACUUGCCAGUGCACUUUCUCAGAGUGGUCCCCACGACCGGCACUGCUGUCUGGCUGUUGCGGUUAAACCGGACUUGCAUUGGCCUUGUGUCUUUGCUUGKUCGGGAUGSCAGGUAUCUCGUUGGCUUGUSUGUGSCUUGCUSCAGGCGUCGGCUUUCGGGUGUAAUCAGCUGACUSCAAUGGUUCUGUSCGKUGUGUCGGAGACGGCGGCUUGUGGUGUGUGCAUGCGUGCSUGGUYGCUGGCGCGUCCGGGUUUGGUUGCUAUGUYSCUYGUUCAASCAAGCCUAGUGAUGGCUCGGAUUCGUUCGKUGGUCAGUUGCGUGUGUGGCACUAUUUCAGGGCCAAUAGUCUGUGGUGUAGUGGUAGACGUUCCACCUGACCCGUCUUGAAACACGGACCAAGGAGAGUAACAUGUGCKCGAGUCAUUGGGCGUAACGAAACCCACAGGCGCAGUGAAAGUAAAGGUUUGGCUUGUCCAGACUGAGGUGAGAUCCUGCUGUGUCUCACGCGCGGUACUACCGAGCAUCGAGCAGCGGGCGCAUCACCGGCCCGUCCCAUGACGUAGACACAUAGUCUUCGGACCAGUGCACCGUCGGGGCGGAGCAUGAGCGUACAUGUUGAGACCCGAAAGAUGGUGAACUAUGCUUGCGCAGGUUGAAGCCAGAGGAAACUCUGGUGGAGGACCGCAGCGAUUCUGACGUGCAAAUCGAUCGUCAAACGUGAGUAUAGGGGCGAAAGACUAAUCGAACCU